UGUCCUCAGUCUGCUGGGUCCCCUUCCCCACAGGUCCCACUCGGCGGCCAUACCCAGGAGGAAGGUGUCCUCUCCUUCCCACUCUGGGUCUGGGGCUUCCACACAUCACUGACCACUGUUCACCAAAGGAAUUCUCUGCUGGCCACCACCCAUGUCAGUACCGGCUUCCCAGCCCUGGGGCUGCUGCAGAAAUGACACGUCACCCACAUCCUUCAUAAAUCAGUUUCCUGACUGACUUUCUUGGACCACGAAACAGAGAGGAACAGUGCAAAGCCCAUGUCUACAGCUGCAGAUCCCAUGGGGAUGCUCCCGCCUGUGAGCACACACCUCCGUUCUGUGCCCGGUCCUGGCAGCGCUUUCUCCUUCAGGAGGCGUUUGAGAACUUGGCCGGCUGGAAUGAAAGGCUUUUCUGUUUUGCUGGCUGCUGACCUUUCGCUGAAGGCCACGCUGGCCAUGGAUGUGAGCGUGGUGCUGCGUUAGCCAGUGCCCAGCUCACCUGGGCAAUGGACGGGGGGGUGAAUUCUUGGAGCAGCGUUGCUACAGCACUGUCUCAUGAAAAGAUGCACUGAUCUAUGAACAAGCUGUCUGGCCCAACCCUGGAGGCAUGGGGCUGCUGAAGAGCACCAGAAGAUCUCGGUUUAUCAUCAGCCCUUCACGGGAACUUGACUGGACAGGCUCUGACAGAAACUGAACAUUUGAUCACCUGGUUUAUGCCAUUUUUAUGUUGAUAUCUGGAGAAUUAUUUCCAGUUCUUGCCAAAUGAGAGGAUGUCUCAUCCACUGUAAGUAGCCUAAGGCUUAAAUAAAUUGUGCAGGAAUCAGUAGUGGAACAAGAGAGGACAAAGUCGGAAAAAGGCAUUUGGCUGGAUCCAGCAUUGCACUGAUCUACUAGCACUCCAAAAAUGCUCUUCCAAAUGUUAAGACUUCUACAGAUAAUGUUCAGUCAGAUUCAUGCUUCCCUAUCUCAGUCUCGAGGAAGGAGGUUGUUAGAGACAUUGCUUGAGGGACAGAGAUGGUGGCAGUUCCCGUACAAGUGAUGCCUGCUCUGGGAAAACCUUGUGGGUGCUAU
Cygnus olor (mute swan) is the source of this 1068-nucleotide long non-coding RNA. RefSeq lists it as uncharacterized. The transcript is spliced from 3 exons. The record is from RefSeq and is a predicted model, not a curated record. Lineage: Eukaryota; Metazoa; Chordata; Aves; Anseriformes; Anatidae.